GAUCGAGUUGUAAUUUGAAGAAGCGUUUUCUGCGUAUUUGAUCAGCCUAAGUCCUAUUGAAUGAGGCAUCACGGAGGGUGAUAAUCCCGUCCGGUUGAUCAUUUGCGUUUUACGAUACGCUUUCUAAGAGUCAAGUUGUUUGGGAUUGCAGCUUAAAAUGGGAGGUAAAUUUCUCCUAAGGCUAAAGAACGGCGAGAGACCGAUAGCGAACAAGUACC
Molecule: ribosomal RNA, 218 nt
Filed under: Rhizophagus intraradices
Lineage: Eukaryota; Fungi; Glomeromycota; Glomeromycetes; Glomerales; Glomeraceae
Description: partial 28S ribosomal RNA
Rfam family: Eukaryotic large subunit ribosomal RNA
Source: RNAcentral